UCCCUGGUGGCUCAGAUGGUAAAGUGUCUGCCUGCAAUGCAGGAGAGCCAGGUUUGAUUCCUGGGUUGGAAA
This is a non-coding RNA of Bos taurus (domestic cattle), 72 nucleotides long. The record is from Rfam. Lineage: Eukaryota; Metazoa; Chordata; Mammalia; Artiodactyla; Bovidae.